UCGAGGCGCCCCCUUCCCUGGCUCAUGGUGAUUUUGCAACUUUCUAGCCGGCUGAGCCUGGCUUUACGCUGACAACACUCGAACGCUGGUGCGGAGAGGACUUCGCAUUUGCUUCGCUGCAGGACGCUGGAGCUGCCAUGUAUGCCCCUUACUUCUGGC
Molecule: non-coding RNA, 159 nt
Organism: Drosophila suzukii
Lineage: Eukaryota; Metazoa; Arthropoda; Insecta; Diptera; Drosophilidae
Source: RefSeq, a predicted model, not a curated record